GACGAACUGUGCAAACGUUAUCCGGAAUCACUGGGCUUGAAGAGUGCGUAGGCGGUUUUGUAAGUAGGGUGUGAAAGCCCCCGGCUCAACCGGGGAAUUGCGCCUUAAACUGCAAGGCUGGAGUGAGGUAGGGGUGUGUGGAACUUCCAGUGGAGCGGUGAAAUGUGUUGAUAUUGGAAGGAACGCCGGUGGCGAAAGCGGCAUCCUGGACCGACACUGACGCUGAGGAGCGAAAGCCAGGGGAGCAAACGGG
This 253-nucleotide ribosomal RNA is filed under the name uncultured bacterium. Its description in RNAcentral is "partial 16S ribosomal RNA". It matches the Rfam family "Bacterial small subunit ribosomal RNA", at positions 524 to 776 of the family's 1533-position model. The record is from RNAcentral.